This 833-nucleotide ribosomal RNA is filed under the name uncultured archaeon. RNAcentral's name for it is "bacterial SSU rRNA". It matches the Rfam family "Archaeal small subunit ribosomal RNA", at positions 85 to 922 of the family's 1478-position model. The record is from RNAcentral.
ACUGCUCAGUAACACGUGGACAACUUACCCUUGGGACCGGGAUAACCCCUGGGAAACUGGGGCUAAUACCGGAUAGAGCAUCGGUUGCUGGAAUGUACGAUGGUCUAAAGCUGAGGCGCCCAAGGAUAGGUCUGCGGCCGAUUAGGUUGUUGUUGAUGUAACGGAUCAACAAGCCUACGAUCGGUACGGGUUGUGAGAGCAAUAGCCCGGAGAUGGGUUCUGAGAGAAGAACCCAGGUCCUACGGGACGCAUCAGGCGCGAAAACUUUACAAUGUGCGAAAGCACGAUAAGGGAACUCUGAGUGCCUCCUAAGGAGGCUGUUCGGGUGUCUAAAAAGCAUCUGAAGGAAGGGCUGGGUAAGACCGGUGCCAGCCGCCGCGGUAACACCGGCAGCCCAAGUGGUAGCCACGCUUAUUGGGUCUAAAGCGUCCGUAGCCGGCCAAGUAAGUUCUUUGGGAAAUUUGACCGCUUAACGGUCAAGCUAUCAGGGAAUACUGCUUGGCUUGGGACCGGGAGAGGUCAGAGGUACUCCAAGGGUAGGGGUGAAAUCCGUUAAUCCUUGGGGGACCACCGGUAGCGAAGGCGUCUGACCAGACCGGGUCCGACGGUGAGGGACGAAGGCUAGGGUCGCGAACCGGAUUAGAUACCCGGGUAGUCCUAGCUGUAAACGAUGCGGGCCAGGUGUUGGCAUUACUGCGAGUGAUGCCAGUGCCGAAGGGAAGCCGUUAAGCCCGCCAUCUGGGGAGUACGGCCGCAAGGCUGAAACUUAAAGGAAUUGGCGGGGGAGCACCACAACGGGUGGAGCUUGCGGUUCAAUUGGAGUCAACGCCGGG